UACCAGCACCCCGAGUGGUCGGGACGAUUAUUGGACCUAAAGCAUCCGUAGCCGGUUCUACAAGUCUUCCGUUAAAUCCACCUGCUUAACAGAUGGGCUGCGGAGGAUACUAUAGAGCUAGGAGGCGGGAGAGGCAAGCGGUACUUAGUGGGUAGGGGUAAAAUCCGUUGAUCCAUUGAAGACCACCAGUGGCGAAGGCGGCUUGCCAGAACGCACUCGACGGUGAGGGAUGAAAGCUGGGGGAGCAAACCGG
This 253-nucleotide ribosomal RNA is filed under the name uncultured bacterium. RNAcentral's name for it is "partial 16S ribosomal RNA". It matches the Rfam family "Archaeal small subunit ribosomal RNA", at positions 474 to 727 of the family's 1478-position model. The record is from RNAcentral.